This 1530-nucleotide ribosomal RNA is filed under the name Escherichia coli DEC14D. RNAcentral describes it as "bacterial SSU rRNA". It matches the Rfam family "Bacterial small subunit ribosomal RNA". Lineage: Bacteria; Pseudomonadati; Pseudomonadota; Gammaproteobacteria; Enterobacterales; Enterobacteriaceae. The record is from RNAcentral.
AGAGUUUGAUCAUGGCUCAGAUUGAACGCUGGCGGCAGGCCUAACACAUGCAAGUCGAACGGUAACAGAAAGCAGCUUGCUGCUUUGCUGACGAGUGGCGGACGGGUGAGUAAUGUCUGGGAAACUGCCUGAUGGAGGGGGAUAACUACUGGAAACGGUAGCUAAUACCGCAUAACGUCGCAAGACCAAAGAGGGGGACCUUCGGGCCUCUUGCCAUCGGAUGUGCCCAGAUGGGAUUAGCUUGUUGGUGGGGUAACGGCUCACCAAGGCGACGAUCCCUAGCUGGUCUGAGAGGAUGACCAGCCACACUGGAACUGAGACACGGUCCAGACUCCUACGGGAGGCAGCAGUGGGGAAUAUUGCACAAUGGGCGCAAGCCUGAUGCAGCCAUGCCGCGUGUAUGAAGAAGGCCUUCGGGUUGUAAAGUACUUUCAGCGGGGAGGAAGGGAGUAAAGUUAAUACCUUUGCUCAUUGACGUUACCCGCAGAAGAAGCACCGGCUAACUCCGUGCCAGCAGCCGCGGUAAUACGGAGGGUGCAAGCGUUAAUCGGAAUUACUGGGCGUAAAGCGCACGCAGGCGGUUUGUUAAGUCAGAUGUGAAAUCCCCGGGCUCAACCUGGGAACUGCAUCUGAUACUGGCAAGCUUGAGUCUCGUAGAGGGGGGUAGAAUUCCAGGUGUAGCGGUGAAAUGCGUAGAGAUCUGGAGGAAUACCGGUGGCGAAGGCGGCCCCCUGGACGAAGACUGACGCUCAGGUGCGAAAGCGUGGGGAGCAAACAGGAUUAGAUACCCUGGUAGUCCACGCCGUAAACGAUGUCGACUUGGAGGUUGUGCCCUUGAGGCGUGGCUUCCGGAGCUAACGCGUUAAGUCGACCGCCUGGGGAGUACGGCCGCAAGGUUAAAACUCAAAUGAAUUGACGGGGGCCCGCACAAGCGGUGGAGCAUGUGGUUUAAUUCGAUGCAACGCGAAGAACCUUACCUGGUCUUGACAUCCACGGAAGUUUCCAGAGAUGAGAAUGUGCCUUCGGGAACCGUGAGACAGGUGCUGCAUGGCUGUCGUCAGCUCGUGUUGUGAAAUGUUGGGUUAAGUCCCGCAACGAGCGCAACCCUUAUCCUUUGUUGCCAGCGGUCCGGCCGGGAACUCAAAGGAGACUGCCAGUGAUAAACUGGAGGAAGGUGGGGAUGACGUCAAGUCAUCAUGGCCCUUACGACCAGGGCUACACACGUGCUACAAUGGCGCAUACAAAGAGAAGCGACCUCGCGAGAGCAAGCGGACCUCAUAAAGUGCGUCGUAGUCCGGAUUGGAGUCUGCAACUCGACUCCAUGAAGUCGGAAUCGCUAGUAAUCGUGGAUCAGAAUGCCACGGUGAAUACGUUCCCGGGCCUUGUACACACCGCCCGUCACACCAUGGGAGUGGGUUGCAAAAGAAGUAGGUAGCUUAACCUUCGGGAGGGCGCUUACCACUUUGUGAUUCAUGACUGGGGUGAAGUCGUAACAAGGUAACCGUAGGGGAACCUGCGGUUGGAUCACAU